Molecule: ribosomal RNA, 301 nt
Filed under: uncultured bacterium
Lineage: Bacteria
Description: partial 16S ribosomal RNA
Rfam family: Bacterial small subunit ribosomal RNA
Source: RNAcentral
CAGCCGCCGCGGGAAAACGAAGGGUGCAAGCGUUACUCGGAAUUACUGGGCGUAAAGCGUGCGUAGGUGGUGGUUUAAGUCCGUUGUGAAAGCCCUGGGCUCAACCUGGGAAUUGCAGUGGAUACUGGGUCACUAGAGUGUGGUAGAGGAUAGUGGAAUUUCCGGUGUAGCAGUGAAAUGCGUAGAGAUCGGAAGGAACAUCUGUGGCGAAGGCGACUAUCUGGGCCAACACUGACACUGAGGCACGAAAGCGUGGGGAGCAAACAGGAUUAGAUACCCGGGUAGUCCCUGUCUCUUAUAC